Non-coding RNA from Podarcis lilfordi (Lilford's wall lizard), 74 nucleotides. The record is from the annotation of a GenBank genome assembly. NCBI's taxonomy places the organism in Eukaryota, Metazoa, Chordata, Lepidosauria, Squamata, Lacertidae.
GGACCAUCAUAGCUCAGGGACAGAGCACCUGCUUUGCAUGCGGAUGGUUCCAGGUUCAAUUCCCAGCAUCUCCA